AACACCCUGAUACAAAUCAAUUAACCCAUCAUACACAUGUCAAUUACUUGAAAUUUAUGAAAACUUAGGAUGUAGGCUCAAUCUAUUAUAAUAUAGUAAUUGUGAAGCGCGCAUUGUUAGAAUGACAAUUCAGCUCUUCUUACCUUGCCACCUAUGUAUUUUUGCUGACAUGUCACACUCUAUGCAUUAAGAAGCCUUUGCACCUCUCAAGUCUUAAGUAUCAAUUCCCUUUCACUCACCUCUCUCUCUCUCUCUAUUCCAUUUUACUUAACUUCAUAUUUUUUCACCUGACAUGCCCAACCCACUGCUUUACGUUACUGGACUUUCGGUUUAAGCAUAAACUAAUUUUCUUCUAUAACUAUUCUCAGUCAUUCUUCUUUUGGGACAUUCAUUUCUAUUCUAUACGUUCAAUUCUCAAGAUUCCAUUUCUACUUUUAUGUUAAUUUAAUUCUAAUUCUCAAGAGCGGCAGCGCCAGCAAAUCAUCUUCAGCCACUUGAAACGCUUGAAUUAAUGACAUAAAUGAAAAGAAACGGGUAAAGAUUAAAAGCAUAUAAAAGAUUACUAAAGGCAAGUGAUGUACCCAAAACAUUAUCAUUUUCUCUCUAGAUUUUUUCCUUGAUAUGAUAAUUCAAUUGGACACAAAAAAAUGGAGGUCCAUUUGAAAAGUGGCAGCCACUUGGAGAAUGUCAAACGCAUCAUGUGUUAAUGGCGUGAAUUAUGUUUCUACUCUUACGAACCUACAAAAAUCAGAACAUCAAGGACUUCAACAACACCCUUAGCAAGUUGCUCCUAUAGAAAUUAUGAAGACCUUAUUUUUGAAGGAAAAGUUAUAGUUGAAGGUUCUACUCACAGUUUAUAUAUAGGAAGUGAAGGUGACCUGAAUUAUCAACCAUAUAGAGUAGGAUAUACAAGUUCCGAAAGCAAGAGAUGUGCCCCAAACAUGACCGGUAGCCACAUCUUUGGGCUUACUCUGGUUCACAAUUGUUGGCCAGAGGUGAAUCUCAAUGCUCUUGUAGAAGCAAAGUAGGCAAGAGGAAUCAUGAAAGCUGAUGAAAAGAGGUAACGAUAGGCCAAGAGAACACUCAUACUCAUCCCAUUAUUUGCAACCAAUUUGUACAAGAUGCUAACCCCAGCAUACAAAAAUCGAACCAAC
This is a long non-coding RNA of Lotus japonicus, 1154 nucleotides long. RefSeq lists it as uncharacterized. Lineage: Eukaryota; Viridiplantae; Streptophyta; Magnoliopsida; Fabales; Fabaceae. The transcript has 4 exons. The record is from RefSeq and is a predicted model, not a curated record.